GAAAGGGUAGCCUAGUGGACAUGGUAUCUGCCCGGUAAGCGGAACACUGUGGGUUCGAUUCCCUGCGCCCUGGACA
Molecule: transfer RNA, 76 nt
Filed under: Cordylochernes scorpioides
Lineage: Eukaryota; Metazoa; Arthropoda; Arachnida; Pseudoscorpiones; Chernetidae
Description: tRNA-Thr
Source: RNAcentral